RNAcentral lists this ribosomal RNA (422 nucleotides) under uncultured bacterium. RNAcentral's name for it is "bacterial SSU rRNA". It matches the Rfam family "Bacterial small subunit ribosomal RNA", at positions 917 to 1341 of the family's 1533-position model. The record is from RNAcentral.
GGGCCCGCACAAGCGGUGGAGCAUGUGGUUUAAUUCGAUGAUACGCGAGGAACCUUACCAGGGCUUAAAUGUAAGUUGCAUUAGUUAGAGAUAGCUAUUUCUUCGGACCACUUACAAGGUGCUGCAUGGUUGUCGUCAGCUCGUGCCGUGAGGUGUCAGGUUAAGUCCUAUAACGAGCGCAACCCCUGUUGUUAGUUGCCAGCGAGUCAUGUCGGGAACUCUAACAAGACUGCCGGUGCAAACCGUGAGGAAGGUGGGGAUGACGUCAAAUCAUCACGGCCCUUACGUCCUGGGCUACACACGUGCUACAAUGGUCGGUACAGAGAGCAGCCACUACGCGAGUAGGAGCCAAUCCCACAAAGCCGAUCUUAGUCCGGAUCGCAGUCUGCAACUCGACUGCGUGAAGUUGGAAUCGCUAGUAA